Molecule: ribosomal RNA, 425 nt
Filed under: uncultured cyanobacterium
Lineage: Bacteria; Bacillati; Cyanobacteriota
Description: bacterial SSU rRNA
Rfam family: Bacterial small subunit ribosomal RNA
Source: RNAcentral
GGGGAAUCUUCCGCAAUGGGCGAAAGCCUGACGGAGCAAUACCGCGUGAGGGAAGACUGCCUAUGGGUUGUAAACCUCUUUUUUCAGGGAGGAAUCAUUGACGUGUACCUGAAGAAUAAGCGUCGGCUAACUCCGUGCCAGCAGCCGCGGUAAGACGGAGGAUGCAAGUGUUAUACGGAAUCACUGGGCGUAAAGCGUCUGUAGGUGGUUUAAUAAGUCAACUGUUAAAUCUUGAGGCUUAACUUCAAAAUCGCAGUCGAAACUAUUAGACUAGAGUAUAGUAGGGGUAAAGGGAAUUUCCAGUGGAGCGGUGAAAUGCGUAGAUAUUGGAAAGAACACCGAUGGCGAAAGCACUUUACUGGGCUAUUACUAACACUCAGAGACGAAAGCUAGGGUAGCAAAUGGGAUUAGAUACCCCAGUAGUC